Molecule: long non-coding RNA, 2200 nt
Organism: Corvus moneduloides (New Caledonian crow)
Lineage: Eukaryota; Metazoa; Chordata; Aves; Passeriformes; Corvidae
Source: Ensembl
GUUGGGUUGCCACCAGUUGCUUCAUCCCUGAGAAACACCAGGCAGGCACCUGGUAAGUCUUUUAUCCCAACCCCAGCCAAAAUAAAUUGUUUUCAAGAGAAACAGACUUGAAAGGAAAUUUUGCAGUUUAUUAAUUAUUUUUCCCUUUUUUUCCCCUUCUUUUUUUGCUCCUGGAUGUCACUUUUUAGAGGGAUAAAUCGCUUUGCACUCAACCAUGUACUGCUGGUGCUAAUUGGGUUGUGGAUUUUGUGUUUGCACCUGCAGACCAAGAACUCUGGCCUCUAAAUCAACCUCUGUUUGAAGUGUAAAUAUUCCUGGCCUCCAAAUUCUGAUACAGCAUUGAGAGCUGAAUGUACGAGUGUGGCUCGAAAUGAUUUUUCCAUUAUGGAAUUAUUUAAGGAAAUUCGAUAAAAUGUGAAUGAGCCAGGCUCGUGCUAAAUGAAAUAUGUAAGCAAGAUGCUAUCAGAGUGUAAGCCUAUGUCACAGUUAUUAAGGAUUAAUCACUGCUAAUUAACUAGAAUGCUUUUUUUCUCUGUCUCAGCACUCUCAGAGGCAUCUCCCCCCACCAUUGAUGAGCUGCCUUCAUCAGCCCAAGAGCUGCUGGAUGAAAUUGCUCCUGAUCAAGUUAAAAUGGAAAACAGAGAGUCAGAAAAAGAAUCUGAGAGAAAUGAGAAGACAAAUCAGAGUUUAUGGACUAAGGAGUCAUUUAAUCUAGCAGAGGAUACAGAAAGAGCUCACUCCAGCCUCGAUGAUGUUUUGGAAAGAAUGUUCCAUGCAGUUCCUGGAGAUGGGGAGAUCCAAGAACAACCUCGGGGACUCACUCUUGGACGAGCACCCCGAGGAUCAGAAACCCCACCCCCAGCAGCAGCUGGCUCCAGCUCCACCCUUCAGGAUAAUUGUUUUGGAUGAGAGCUCUCUCCAUGAUUAAAACACAGAGUGAAUAAGUUCUACACAUCACCUGCUUGCUGCUGCUUGCACAGUGUUUAGUCUGUGAAUUACAGCCCUUUUUGGCUACACAAGUACCUGUAAAGCUCAGAUUUCCUUUAACAGCAGCAGGUACAGAAGAAAAUCUAAUGCUCUAUGCUCUGAUAUGGUUUGUACUGGUUUUAUGCCAUUGUUGCAUGCCCAGGCAGUGUCAGUGUUGCAGAAGUGAACUGUUUUUUACUGUCACAUCCUUAUGAAGCUGGUUUUUAUUCUGCAUGUGCACUUUUUCAGAAGCUAAAGAAUUUCUUGCUCUGUUGCAUUAUGCAGUUUUCACAUUAAAGACAAAAUGAUUGUAGUUCUGUGGGCUGCUGGUGCUGCUCAGGCACUGAAAUGUUUCCAUGCUGGAGUGUUACAGCCCAUGUAGUGUCUGUUUUUCCUUGCUCAUUAAAUUUAACAAGGUAAUUUCUUGUUUUCUCUUUACUUAGUGCUUUUGUGAUCUAGUGUUGAACUGAUUUGACUGAUUAAAGGGAUUAAUUGCUGUGCAAAAAGCUAAUGAGGAAAAGGCAGUGUUCUCCAGAGAUUGCAAGUGCAGCAAUAUGUUCCCUGCCAGCAUCAGACAAGAAUGUGAAAAAAAUGUGCUUGUUAUGAAGAUACCUGAUGUUUAAUUCAACCCCAUUUUUGGUAGGCCUCAUCCAAAAAAACAAACCCAAAAAUCCCUGGAUAUAAUUGAGUUUUGGAUUAGAAUUUUGAUGGGCACAGCAACUUCAUAUUUAACGUUUCUUGUGAUAAAUACUGUUCAGGUGCAGGAGUGAAAGUUGUCCUGUUCCCUAUGUGACAGACACAGGGAUUUGAGCUGGUUUUGUACAUCUGGGUGUGCCAAGUUUUGCAUCUUCAUUCCUGUUUUUGCAAGGAAAUUCUCCAGUUCUGUACCUGUUAAUUUGGUUUUGCAACACUAAUAAAAGUUUCCAAGGUUAUUGUGCUGCCAUGUGGGUUUUUUUCUGGUUUGGGAGGUUCUUUUUUGGGGUUGUUCUGUUGGGUUUUUUACUUGUUUUUAACGCUGCUUCCCAUCAUCAGACCACGAUACAACCAGAUGCUGACAGAGUAUCCAGUUGCAGUAUCCAGGGAGGAUGCUGCAGAGGUGGGGGAGCUUUCUGAGGAUAGAUCAGAGAAAAUAAAAAUCUUUCAUGUGUUUGUCCUGUUGUGGCAGUGAUGGUGCCUCAGGAUAGCAGCAAGGCCUAGAACAGGCCUCGCCCCGGGCUGUGACACAAUUCUGUCC